Molecule: transfer RNA, 85 nt
Filed under: Dehalococcoidia bacterium
Lineage: Bacteria; Bacillati; Chloroflexota; Dehalococcoidia
Description: tRNA-Leu
Rfam family: tRNA
About the family: Transfer RNA (tRNA) molecules are approximately 80 nucleotides in length. Their secondary structure includes four short double-helical elements and three loops (D, anti-codon, and T loops).
Source: RNAcentral
GGGGAAGUGGCGGAACCGGCAGACGCGCACGGCUUAGGACCGUGUGCCGCAAGGCGUGGGGGUUCGAGUCCCCCCUUCCCCACCA